AAACGCUGAAGGCAUCUAAGCGUGAAACUUCCCUCGAGAUAAGUAUUCCCACUCUUCGGAGGUAAGGCCCCACGUAGACUAUGUGGUUGAUAGGUCAGGAGUGGAAGUGCAGUAAUGCAUGCAGCGGACUGAUACUAAUAGGCCGAGGGCUUGACCUA
RNAcentral lists this ribosomal RNA (158 nucleotides) under Butyricicoccus pullicaecorum. RNAcentral's name for it is "partial 23S ribosomal RNA". It matches the Rfam family "Bacterial large subunit ribosomal RNA", at positions 2766 to 2925 of the family's 2925-position model. The record is from RNAcentral. Lineage: Bacteria; Bacillati; Bacillota; Clostridia; Eubacteriales; Butyricicoccaceae.